UCUUUUGACAAUUGAAAUCAAAAUAUAAUUCAAUUUGUUAGUAUUAAUCAUUCACGAAUAUUGCAUUGAAAAAAAUAUACAAGUAUAUAUAUUGAAGAUACAUUAUAUUUUUUGUUUAUUACCUUUAUCCUCACUUUUUAUGACAGUAAUAGCUGAUGUAAAGGUUUGGUUAAUGGAGCUGGUAUUCACUAUCGUCACUGUGUCUAGCACUUUCUCUAAUGUUUGAGUUUGUUUCUCAAUAGUCUGAUUCCAUUCAUUUUCUCCUCUAGAAUUAAGUAUUGGAUACUGUAAUAGAUCGCAACAAUCAAAGUAAUUCUUAACUCUAUAUUUGUGUCCUGAAUGAGCAUGGAUAAUUAUCUCUCUUUCUAAUGGAC
This 374-nucleotide long non-coding RNA is filed under the name Manihot esculenta (cassava). Its description in RNAcentral is "long non-coding RNA (MESC_LNC011627)". Lineage: Eukaryota; Viridiplantae; Streptophyta; Magnoliopsida; Malpighiales; Euphorbiaceae. The record is from RNAcentral.